Molecule: small nucleolar RNA, 115 nt
Organism: Cicer arietinum (chickpea)
Lineage: Eukaryota; Viridiplantae; Streptophyta; Magnoliopsida; Fabales; Fabaceae
Source: RefSeq, a predicted model, not a curated record
ACCAAUUCUGAAGGAUUAAUUGUUCCUUUUGGUGUAAUGGCUCAGACGCUAAAUCAAUUAUGUGGUGAUCUUGAUUUAUAGAUUUUCUUCGAUCUUGGAAACGCCCCAUAAAUUA